This is a non-coding RNA of Felis catus (domestic cat), 46 nucleotides long. The record is from Rfam. NCBI's taxonomy places the organism in Eukaryota, Metazoa, Chordata, Mammalia, Carnivora, Felidae.
CCAACGGCCCUUUUUAGGGCCAACCAUCUGGUCUUCGGAAGAGCUG